CCUACGGGGGGCUGCAGUGGGGAAUAUUGCACAAUGGGGGAAACCCUGAUGCAGCGACGCCGCGUGAGUGAAGAAGUAUUUCGGUAUGUAAAGCUCUAUCAGCAGGGAAGAAAUAAAGUCCUUCGGACUUUGGACGGUACCUGACUAAGAAGCCCCGGCUAACUACGUGCCAGCAGCCGCGGUAAUACGUAGGGGGCAAGCGUUAUCCGGAUUUACUGGGUGUAAAGGGAGCGUAGACGGCAGCGCAAGUCUGGAGUGAAAUCCCAUGGCUUAACCAUGGAACUGCUUUGGAAACUGUGCAGCUGGAGUGCAGGAGAGGUAAGCGGAAUUCCUAGUGUAGCGGUGAAAUGCAUAGAUAUCACGCAGAACUCCGAUUGCGAAGGCAGCAUACCGGCGCGCAACUGACGCUCAUGCACGAAAGCGUGGGUAUCGAACAGGAUUAGAUACCCCAGUAGUC
This 457-nucleotide ribosomal RNA is filed under the name uncultured bacterium. Its description in RNAcentral is "partial 16S ribosomal RNA". It matches the Rfam family "Bacterial small subunit ribosomal RNA", at positions 338 to 795 of the family's 1533-position model. The record is from RNAcentral.